GUCCCUGUCGAUUAGUGGUCAAAUCAUCUCGUUGUGGUAUUGUGACUACUCCGAGAAGCCGGAAGUUCGAAUCCUCCCUGGGACA
Non-coding RNA from Macrolepiota fuliginosa MF-IS2, 85 nucleotides. NCBI's taxonomy places the organism in Eukaryota, Fungi, Basidiomycota, Agaricomycetes, Agaricales, Agaricaceae. The record is from the annotation of a GenBank genome assembly.